RNAcentral lists this transfer RNA (65 nucleotides) under Dipodomys ordii (Ord's kangaroo rat). It matches the Rfam family "tRNA". Rfam says of the family: Transfer RNA (tRNA) molecules are approximately 80 nucleotides in length. Their secondary structure includes four short double-helical elements and three loops (D, anti-codon, and T loops). Lineage: Eukaryota; Metazoa; Chordata; Mammalia; Rodentia; Heteromyidae. The record is from Rfam by way of RNAcentral.
GGUGGCUCAGUGGUAGAGCACUUGCCUUGAAUGCCAGAGGCCCUGAGUUCAAUUCCUCAGCACCA